This 498-nucleotide long non-coding RNA is filed under the name Mus musculus (house mouse). RNAcentral's name for it is "predicted gene, 39079". Lineage: Eukaryota; Metazoa; Chordata; Mammalia; Rodentia; Muridae. The record is from RNAcentral.
AUGGACUCAUAGCACCUAUUGAUCUAAGCAAUGGUGGUAAUGGAUGACUGACAUUCUGUAAGACACAGCACAGUAGAAUCAAGAUGAUCAAAGAAACUCGGUGAACCUGAAAUUGGAUCAAAACAAAUUAUCGCUCAGAAUAAUAGAGAAAACUUGGAAACUGCAAGUGGAGCAUCAGCAGACCUUGGAAUCAAUGCAGGUUGACAGCAGACUCAACUCUGGAAUGUAUGCUUUGGAGAUGGGUUUAAAGACUUGGACUCUGUCUUCGAUCCCGAAGCAACCCUGCAGCUUGAUUACAGGCCCUCUUAGCCUCAAAUCCGCAUUGGUGCUGUAGGACGCAAGACCCACGCAGGUUCCACAGCAGUCCUGCUGAGAUGUGAGGACGUUACAGUCAUCAGCAAGCCAAGUAAAAGAUCUGCUUUGUACCCUGGAGCAAACCCCAAUCCCCUUGCUUUAAAUCCUGGAGACAGUCUAGUUCAACCAUGAACCACCCAUAAA